GGUCUAGUAGUGUAUUCCACGUCGGAUUGCAAAUCCGAAAAAGCGGGUGGCCACCCGCCUAGGCCU
RNAcentral lists this transfer RNA (66 nucleotides) under Muraenesox cinereus (daggertooth pike conger). Its description in RNAcentral is "tRNA-Cys". It matches the Rfam family "tRNA". Rfam says of the family: Transfer RNA (tRNA) molecules are approximately 80 nucleotides in length. Their secondary structure includes four short double-helical elements and three loops (D, anti-codon, and T loops). Lineage: Eukaryota; Metazoa; Chordata; Actinopteri; Anguilliformes; Muraenesocidae. The record is from RNAcentral.